This 465-nucleotide ribosomal RNA is filed under the name uncultured bacterium. RNAcentral describes it as "partial 16S ribosomal RNA". It matches the Rfam family "Bacterial small subunit ribosomal RNA", at positions 28 to 507 of the family's 1533-position model. The record is from RNAcentral.
GACGAACGCUGGCGGCGUGCUUAACACAUGCAAGUCGAACGGAAAGGCCCUGCUUGCCGGGUACUCGAGUGGCGAACGGGUGAGUAACACGUGGGUGAUCUGCCCUGCACUUCGGGAUAAGCCUGGGAAACUGGGUCUAAUACCGGAUAGGACCCAUUUUUAGUGUGAUGGUUGGAAAGUUUUUUCGGUGUAGGAUGAGCUCGCGGCCUAUCAGCUUGUUGGUGGGGUAAUGGCCUACCAAGGCGGCGACGGGUAGCCGGCCUGAGAGGGUGGACGGCCACAUUGGGACUGAGAUACGGCCCAGACUCCUACGGGAGGCAGCAGUGGGGAAUAUUGCACAAUGGGCGCAAGCCUGAUGCAGCGACGCCGCGUGGGGGAUGACGGCCUUCGGGUUGUAAACUCCUUUCGCUAGGGACGAAGCUUUUUGUGACGGUACCUAGAUAAGAAGCACCGGCUAACUACGUG